GCACCUAAAUCUUUCCUGUCCUUGCGGUGCAGUGCAAGUCUGGGGACAGCAGGUGCUAUAGCACAGCAGAGGAAAUCCAGACGGGUUGCCUUGCGCUUCAUUUGGGAUCUGUCUCUACAACUCUGCAACACAU
Crocodylus porosus (Australian saltwater crocodile) is the source of this 133-nucleotide small nucleolar RNA. The record is from Ensembl. NCBI's taxonomy places the organism in Eukaryota, Metazoa, Chordata, Crocodylia, Crocodylidae.